This 460-nucleotide ribosomal RNA is filed under the name uncultured bacterium. Its description in RNAcentral is "partial 16S ribosomal RNA". It matches the Rfam family "Bacterial small subunit ribosomal RNA", at positions 338 to 795 of the family's 1533-position model. The record is from RNAcentral.
CCUACGGGUGGCAGCAGUGAGGAAUAUUGGUCAAUGGGCGGAAGCCUGAACCAGCCAAGUCGCGUGAGGGAUUAAGGCCCUAUGGGUCGUAAACCUCUUUUGUCAGGGAGCAAGGUCGUCCACGUGUGGGCGUAUGGAGAGUACCUGAAGAAAAAGCAUCGGCUAACUCCGUGCCAGCAGCCGCGGUAAUACGGAGGAUGCGAGCGUUAUCCGGAUUUAUUGGGUUUAAAGGGUGCGUAGGCGGGACCUUAAGUCAGCGGUAAAAUUGCGGUGCUCAACGCCGUAGAGCCGUUGAAACUGGGGCUCUUGAGUGAGCGAGAAGUAUGCGGAAUGCGUGGUGUAGCGGUGAAAUGCAUAGAUAUCAUACAGAACACCGAUUGCGAAGGCAGCUUACCAAGCUACUUCUGACGUUGAGGCACGAAAGCGUGGGGAGCAAACAGGAUUAGAUACCCUUGUAGUC